GUGUUUGUUUAGGCAGCACAUAUACUGAAACUGGAAUAAUACAGAGAGGAUUAUCAUGACUCCUGUGUAAGGAUGACACACACACUUGUAAAGUGUUCCAUAUUUUU
This is a small nuclear RNA of Pteronotus mesoamericanus, 107 nucleotides long. Lineage: Eukaryota; Metazoa; Chordata; Mammalia; Chiroptera; Mormoopidae. The record is from RefSeq and is a predicted model, not a curated record.